GAUGAACGCUGGCGGCGUGCUUAACACAUGCAAGUCGAACGAUGAAGCCCAGCUUGCUGGGUGUAUUAGUGGCGAACGGGUGAGUAACACGUGAGUACCCUGCCCUUAACUCUGGGAUAAGCCUGGGAAACUGGGUCUAAUACCGGAUAGGAGCGUCCACCGCAUGGUGGGUGUUGGAAAGAUUUAUCGGUUUUGGAUGGACUCGCGGCCUAUCAGCUUGUUGGUGAGGUAAUGGCUCACCAAGGCGACGACGGGUAGCCGGCCUGAGAGGGUGACCGGCCACACUGGGACUGAGACACGGCCCAGACUCCUACGGGAGGCAGCAGUGGGGAAUAUUGCACAAUGGGCGCAAGCCUGAUGCAGCGACGCCGCGUGAGGGAUGACGGCCUUCGGGUUGUAAACCUCUUUCAGUAGGGAAGAAGCGAAAGUGACGGUACCUGCAGAAGAAGCACCGGCUAACUACGUG
Molecule: ribosomal RNA, 466 nt
Filed under: uncultured bacterium
Lineage: Bacteria
Description: partial 16S ribosomal RNA
Rfam family: Bacterial small subunit ribosomal RNA
Source: RNAcentral